This 491-nucleotide ribosomal RNA is filed under the name uncultured bacterium. RNAcentral describes it as "partial 16S ribosomal RNA". It matches the Rfam family "Bacterial small subunit ribosomal RNA", at positions 29 to 506 of the family's 1533-position model. The record is from RNAcentral.
AGUGAACGCUGGCGGUAGGCCUAACACAUGCAAGUCGAACGGCAGCACAGUAAGAGCUUGCUCUUACGGGUGGCGAGUGGCGGACGGGUGAGGAAUACAUCGGAAUCUACUUUUUCGUGGGGGAUAACGUAGGGAAACUUACGCUAAUACCGCAUACGACCUACGGGUGAAAGCAGGGGAUCUUCGGACCUUGCGCGAUUGAAUGAGCCGAUGUCGGAUUAGCUAGUUGGCGGGGUAAAGGCCCACCAAGGCGACGAUCCGUAGCUGGUCUGAGAGGAUGAUCAGCCACACUGGAACUGAGACACGGUACAGACUCCUACGGGAGGCAGCAGUGGGGAAUAUUGGACAAUGGGCGCAAGCCUGAUCCAGCCAUACAGCGUGGGUGAAGAAGGCCUUCGGGUUGUAAAGCCCUUUUGUUGGGAAAGAAAAGCAGCAGGUUAAUACCCCGCUGUUCUGACGGUACCCAAAGAAUAGGCACCGGCUAACUUCGU